RNAcentral lists this ribosomal RNA (430 nucleotides) under uncultured archaeon. RNAcentral describes it as "bacterial SSU rRNA". It matches the Rfam family "Archaeal small subunit ribosomal RNA", at positions 474 to 903 of the family's 1478-position model. The record is from RNAcentral.
UACCAGCUCUCCGAGUGGUAGGGAUGAUUAUUGGGCUUAAAGCGUCCGUAGCCGGCUUAGCAAGUCUCCUGUUAAAUUCAGCGACCUAAUCGUUGAGCCGCGGGAGAUACUACUAUGCUAGGAGGCGGGAGAGGUCGACGGUACUUUCGGGGUAGGGGUGAAAUCCUAUAAUCCCGGGAGGACCACCAGUGGCGAAGGCUGUCGACUAGAACGCGCUCGACGGUGAGGGACGAAAGCUGGGGGAGCGAACCGGAUUAGAUACCCGGGUAGUCCCAGCUGUAAACUAUGCGGGCUAGGUGUUGGGGUGGCUACGGGCCACUUCAGUGCCGCAGGAAAGCCAUUAAGCCCGCCGCCUGGGGAGUACGGCCGCAAGGCUGUAAACUUAAAGGAAUUGGCGGGGGAGCACCACAAGGCGUGAAGCUUGCGGUUC